This 743-nucleotide long non-coding RNA is filed under the name Phoenix dactylifera (date palm). Its description in RNAcentral is "long non-coding RNA (PDAC_LNC017438)". The record is from RNAcentral. Lineage: Eukaryota; Viridiplantae; Streptophyta; Magnoliopsida; Arecales; Arecaceae.
CAAAAUGCAUUGAGCAUAUCUGCAUAGAAGAUGAAAUAACUAACAAUUAGCACAAAUUAACACAGUUGAUAGUCGAGAAGAUCAAAUGAUGACAUGUGUGCCGAAGCAUGGAGGUGAGCAAACUAAAUGAAAGAGUUAAUGCAAAGUUCGCCGUAUUGGUGCAUACCGCCCUGUACUAAGUGUACUGUAGCAUACCAGUACUAAACCAAAACUCAAGGUAUGGAGGGCAUAAAGAGUCUCGGGAUACUGAACCGAUCCCGCACCAACAUUAUGUCAGCAUAGUACCGAUACGGGAUCUAGUAUUGAGAUUUCGAACUUUGAGUAAAUGUUUUGCCUAUUUUAAGUACAUACAAAUCAAAAUAUUCUACAUUAGCAUUCCUGAAUAUCAAGAGCAUUUCAAUAUUGUUACACAACAUAAAGUCAAGGCUAUAUGUUCAUUAGCAUUCAAGAUAUCACCAAUAACUUUAUCAACACAUAAUAAAUCACUGCAAAUAUGGCAACUAAUGAAACAAAUUGCACUAAUAGUCAUUGUACAGUCUAUACUACAAAUAAAAAAAACAAUUUCAGAUAGCUCUAGCCUGCAAAGCAACCCCAUUUGGCCCAAAAGUAAUUCAAAAAAAUAAUAAAAAAAACCAGAACAAACAUAAUGCAAUGGUAGUUGAGAAACAAGCUUACUCGAACAAUGAUGCAAGUUGCGUAAAUCCACGAAAUGGACACCACUGAAUUCCAAAUGGCUGCAAAAG